GCAGGUGUAGUUCAAUUGGUAGAAUAUCUGGUUUCCAUCCAGAUUGUUGAGGGUUCGAGUCCCUUCACCUGCUCCA
This 76-nucleotide transfer RNA is filed under the name Cronobacter phage vB_CsaM_GAP161. RNAcentral's name for it is "tRNA-Gly". It matches the Rfam family "tRNA". From Rfam's summary of the family: Transfer RNA (tRNA) molecules are approximately 80 nucleotides in length. Their secondary structure includes four short double-helical elements and three loops (D, anti-codon, and T loops). Lineage: Duplodnaviria; Heunggongvirae; Uroviricota; Caudoviricetes; Pantevenvirales; Straboviridae. The record is from RNAcentral. RNAcentral also lists the same sequence under 22 other names.